UACGUAGGGGGCGAGCGUUGUCCGGAUUUAUUGGGCGUAAAGAGCUCGUAGGCGGUUUGGUAAGUCGGGUGUGAAAUCUCCACGCUCAACGUGGAGGGGCCACUCGAUACUGCCAUGACUCGAGUCCGGUAGAGGAGUGUGGAAUUCCCGGUGUAGCGGUGAAAUGCGCAGAUAUCGGGAGGAACACCAGUGGCGAAGGCGACUUCCUGGCCUGUUCUUGACGCUUAGGCGCGAAAGCUAGGGUAGCAAACGGG
Molecule: ribosomal RNA, 254 nt
Filed under: uncultured bacterium
Lineage: Bacteria
Description: partial 16S ribosomal RNA
Rfam family: Bacterial small subunit ribosomal RNA
Source: RNAcentral